UUAAUUUGUGUGGCAUUCUCUGCCUUCCCUAUGGACACUAGGGGUUUUUAUGCCCUACUGCAGAGUGUCCCUGGUUGCAUGCAGAGACAUUUCUCUUGACACAGGCAGCCUGGCAGCAGGGGAUCCCUGGGAAGCAGACAGCUUCUGGUGGGUUGUGGUGCCCCAAGGUUUCUCUCUGGUCAAUCAGAACCCUUCUUUUGAGGCUGAACAUUGAUUUACUGUAUACCAUCUGAGGUCUGCACUUGGCUUUUGACCAUGCUUCAUGCCUGCUGCAACCACAGAGCCACCGCCACCACUAACCUUCCAAGGCUGAGCUGAAUUAUUUUCUGACUCGUGUAUCGCCAAGAGACGCAUCAGCUACAAGAGAUUCCAGCUGCAGAAUGUGUGUGCGCAGCGUGUCUUGUUCAGAUGUUAUUUCCUUAAUAAAAUUGCUCAUUUGGUGUGAA
Molecule: long non-coding RNA, 446 nt
Organism: Pezoporus flaviventris
Lineage: Eukaryota; Metazoa; Chordata; Aves; Psittaciformes; Psittacidae
Exons: 2
Source: RefSeq, a predicted model, not a curated record